GACCACUCUACGUUCAAAGUGCAGACAAAAAACCCGCAUGUUAAACAGCAUUUUCAAGGCUUUGGCAAAAAUAUAUAUAUUUUUAUUGUUUGGACGCCAGUUCUUAUGGUUUAAAACGUUAUAGCUAACGUUAUUAUAGCGAUGCUGGGGAAGUAUCUCCUUGUGUCUUUCCUGGCAUUUGUGAACGCAAUCCCGAGAAACAGAAAUUUCCCAUCAUGCGAACAACGGAUAAAUGAAUGUCAUAAUGGUACAAUACCCAACUGUCUGGUUAAAAACAGGGUGGAGCAUCAUUUCGUAUGUUCUAGGAGGCCGUGUGCUGCGCAAGUACUUGUGUUUUCGAGACCACGCAAGCGAAAAGUAAGUCUAAACCUAUGCGAGGAAUUUACCUGUUGAUGUGUGGCAUGCUAGUUGUGGACGCCACCCCUACAAAUAUGAGUCAUGCAUCGUGUAAAAGAAGGAGAGGGGAGUGCGGAAAUGGCCAGAGACCCAACUGCCUCAUAAAAAACGGGAAUCCCUUCUUCGAAUGCUCCGCGAAAAAUAGGCCGUGCUUUUACUCGUGGUCUAAACAUUGCGAAGAUUUCACUUACAUGCGUUGUAGUCAGCGGAAAAACUACUGUGAUUGCCGAUGUGAGGUUUUGGCCAAAGCACCGCCCCCAUACGAGCAUCAAAAACCAUAUAACCAGCGUCCAAAGCGUUUCCCAUCGCCGAAAAGGCCUUAAGAGUCUGGGCAGCUUUCCUGGUGCGCAAUGUCCGUGGUGCGCUGGACUUCUGAAAUACUCAGCUCUACCAGCAAACAAUAAAGUGUGGUUCUCAUGCAUUCCACAUGGA
Molecule: non-coding RNA, 828 nt
Organism: Dermacentor albipictus
Lineage: Eukaryota; Metazoa; Arthropoda; Arachnida; Ixodida; Ixodidae
Source: RefSeq, a predicted model, not a curated record